UGGAUCCAGACUUUGAUUCUGGCUCAGGAUGAACGCUGGCGGCGCGCCUAACACAUGCAAGUCGAACGGUUAAGGCGCCCUUCGGGGCGCGUAUAGAGUGGCGAACGGCUGAGUAACACGUGGGCAACCUGCCCCCCGCACCGGGACAGCCUCGGGAAACCGUGGGUAAUACCGGGUACUCCGCCACCCCCGCAUGGGGGAGGCGGGAGAGCGUAUGCGGCGGGGGAUGGGCCCGCGGCCUGUUAGCUAGUUGGCGGGGCAACGGCCCACCAAGGCGAUUAUGGGUAGCUGGGUUGAGAGACCGACCAGCCAGAUUGGGACUGAGACACGGCCCAGACUCCUACGGGAGGCAGCAGUGGGGAAUCUUGCGCAAUGGGGGCAACCCUGACGCAGCGACGCCGCGUGCGGGACGAAGGCCUUCGGGUCGUAAACCGCUUUCAGCAGGGACGAGGCCGCGAGGUGACGGUACCUGCAGAAGAAGCCCCGGCUAACUACGUGCCAGCAGCCGCGGUAAUACGUAGGGGGCGAGCGUUAUCCGGAUUCAUUGGGCGUAAAGCGCUCGUAGGCUGCCCGCUAGGUCCGGGGUCAAAUCCGGGGGCUCAACCCCCGCACGCCCCGGAUACCGGCGGGCUUGAGUCGGGUAGGGGAAGGCGGAAUUCCAGGUGUAGCGGUGGAAUGCGCAGAUAUCUGGAAGAACACCGGUGGCGAAGGCGGCCUUCUGGGCCUCGACUGACGCUGAGGAGCGAAAGCUGGGGGAGCGAACAGGAUUAGAUACCCUGGUAGUCCCAGCCGUAAACGAUGGACGCUAGGUGUGGGGGGAUUGUCCCUCCGUGCCGCAGCCAACGCAUUAAGCGUCCCGCCUGGGGAGUACGGCCGCAAGGCUACAACUCAAAGGAAUUGACGGA
RNAcentral lists this ribosomal RNA (905 nucleotides) under uncultured Actinomycetes bacterium. RNAcentral describes it as "bacterial SSU rRNA". It matches the Rfam family "Bacterial small subunit ribosomal RNA", at positions 1 to 917 of the family's 1533-position model. The record is from RNAcentral. Lineage: Bacteria; Bacillati; Actinomycetota; Actinomycetes.